UCCCUUUUAGUAACGGCGAGUGAAGCGGCAAAAGCUCAAAUUUGAAAUCUGGUACCUUCGGUGCCCGAGUUGUAAUUUGGAGAGGGCAACUUUGGGGCCGUUCCUUGUCUAUGUUCCUUGGAACAGGACGUCAUAGAGGGUGAGAAUCCCGUGUGGCGAGGAGUGCGGUUCUUUGUAAAGUGCCUUCGAAGAGUCGAGUUGUUUGGGAAUGCAGCUCUAAGUGGGUGGUAAAUUCCAUCUAAAGCUAAAUAUUGGCGAGAGACCGAUAGCGAACAAGUACAGUGAUGGAAAGAUGAAAAGAACUUUGAAAAGAGAGUGAAAAAGUACGUGAAAUUGUUGAAAGGGAAGGGCAUUUGAUCAGACAUGGUGUUUUGUGCCCUCUGCUCCUUGUGGGUAGGGGAAUCUCGCAUUUCACUGGGCCAGCAUCAGUUUUGGUGGCAGGAUAAAUCCAUAGGAAUGUAGCUUGCCUCGGUAAGUAUUAUAGCCUGUGGGAAUACUGCCAGCUGGGACUGAGGACUGCGACGUAAGUCAAGGAUGCUGGCAUAAUGGUUAUAUGCCGCCCGUCUUGAACCACCCGACACACA
RNAcentral lists this ribosomal RNA (584 nucleotides) under Saccharomyces cerevisiae (brewer's yeast). RNAcentral's name for it is "partial large subunit ribosomal RNA". It matches the Rfam family "Eukaryotic large subunit ribosomal RNA", at positions 76 to 664 of the family's 3401-position model. The record is from RNAcentral. Lineage: Eukaryota; Fungi; Ascomycota; Saccharomycetes; Saccharomycetales; Saccharomycetaceae.